CUCUGCACGGCUGUGUACACCUGAGCGAGACGCUCAGUCGCUCUCUAAAGCCGCUUCUGCGGAUGACAGACACGGAGAUAAACGUGAGAGGUGGCCCACCACGACUUGCCCUCCUUUGCCCGGGUUUGCCCCUCGCUGCGGAGGCUGUUCUACAUCUGGCCCUUGGAGCAGGCCGGCUGACAGCGUGGUAAAGGAAGAUUUCUGCGGGAGGGCGGCCAGUGCAAAACAAUUCCCUGACCGGGAAUCGAACCCGGGCCGUGGCGCUUUCAGCACCGAAUCCUAGCCACUAGACAACCAUGCAGAUGCGGAAAGCUGCUUUCUCUCCCUUCUUCGACCUGAAGCGACACUUUCCUGUGCUCUAGGAGGACUUGGGUCUUGUGAGAGUCGCCCUUUGCUCCUGGAGUCGUCUCACAAGGCCGUUCACUCCCUGCUUUCUUCAAAAAAAGAACCUGCAGGCGACACACCAAGGACUCCACGAGGGAGUCCUGAGUACUGGAGCGAGUUGCGGCCACGCGGCCGCAGCUCACCACUGGCCUAGAGAUGCCCUUUGCGAGGCGGCAGCAACUGACAAGAUGGUCGCGGGUCGCCGGGUCCGGAGCCGCCCACCAGGUUGCCAGGAGGAGGCGGGAGCGGGGAGGCGCCCGAGGUGAGACAGGGGCACCCUCUGCAUCAUAAAGGACCCAGACCCCGGCACCCUCAACAUCAUAAGGAAUCAGACGGAUGCGGAAACCGAGACGGGCUGGAUAGGAAACUCUUUCCAGGAAGGCUCCGGGGCACUCAACUGGUCUCCAACCUUCCCCUGCAACCUGUGACGCCUGCCAUUUUCCCAUUUUAGGCGAUGGCAACGCAACCCCUCCGUUUGCUCUGGGCAAAACUUCGAGAGUUCCCUCUGAAGCUGGAGCUUUUUCCUCAGAUCCAAGAUCCAAUUGGUCACCAAUUCGUGAUUUCCGUCGGCCAAGUGCGUGGGCAUUGAUCUACACGCGAGUUUCUCCACCUCUGCCGAAUGGCUACUUCGGGGUGGGGGAGGGGCCCUCCCGCCGUGGAUUGCAAGGUGUUUAGCAGCAUCUGUCUCCUCCGCUGACUAGACACAUGCCAGGGGGAUAACAUUCUCCCUCCCGCUUCCCCCAGCCGCGGCCUAGUGUCCCAGCGGGGUUGGGAGAGGCAUGUGAGGGCCAAGUUGCCCCCUGUUGAGAACCAUUGCUGCGCGUAGUCCUUCUCUCUGAACUUGUGCAGAGGACUCUCCAGGUGAAGGCUCAAGGGUGGAUCCAGCUCGAGACACCCUCGCUCCCCCUCACAGUCGGACCUUAGGAUUUAGGCUUUAACAUCUCCACAUCAUGAGAUUCGAAACCUUUAGGUCUUGUCUUCCGUUCUGUCCUCCAAAUCGGCCUCUUCCGAGCCUGUUGACCAGGGCCAGCCGGGCAGAGGGCUGGGCUCGCUCAACGAGGCUCCUCUCGCACCUCCUGGAGCUUCAGGCUUCUUUCCGUUGCAGAGAAGCUUUAUGGGCCAAUUCGUUCGGCAUCCCCGGGGGCAGGUGCGCGGUGCGCGGGGAAGAAGAGGAUUUGACUGCGGUUCUCCACCCCCGGCGCCCAACCUCCACCCCGGUGCGCGCGCUCUUCCAGGCUCCUGCUGGUCCCACUUGCCAGGAGUUAGGUCUCAGGUCAGCCUGAGCUCCUGAGACGCCCAGGCCCGGAAAGACACGUAGGGGAAACCAUCUGCUCACUUCUGUCCUGUCCGGAAGGGAUCCCUUUCUGACGGGAAAGAAAGGCGCUAAACAAGCACUGGCCUUGAGAUAAGCAAUGCUGAAGCACUUGCAGCUCACCUAUUACCAUAAACUGACUGAGCCCUCCCUACACAAGCCGUAACUACUGCUUUGAUUGGACAAGAGACUGAUUUCAGUAGUUUUCUCUUGAUAAGAGACCACUGGCCGUGGGCGGGUUCUGGACAGUUUACAGAAGCUAUGCACUUGAUUGCCUUUGUGUCCCUGCUUCACCUUUUGAAGCAUAGGGCCUAAUUAUAAUGUAUUUAAAUGUUGUCUCCACCCCAAAGUGAACAUGGGUUGCAUGUAACAGGCAUGUUUACUCAGCAUGCAUGCAGCAGGAUCCCUUCACAAAUAUUCAGAGCUCCCCCUAUUCCCUGUUGAAUAUGUAUAUGUGGCCAGCCAGAUCAACGUAAAUCACUAUUCGCCCUCCCCUCCCUGGAAACCUACUUUUCGGGUUUCAGCAGGAAGCUAUGCCUCCCCGUCUGUCAGAAUGGCCACUUGCAGGCUGUAACCCUUUAUAAAAAAAUAAAAUCUCCUUUCUAAAUUUA
Homo sapiens (human) is the source of this 2307-nucleotide long non-coding RNA. RefSeq annotates it as long independently transcribed non-coding RNA 2591. The transcript is spliced from 2 exons. The record is from RefSeq and is marked validated. Lineage: Eukaryota; Metazoa; Chordata; Mammalia; Primates; Hominidae.